CCCUUAGAUGUCCGGGGUUGCACGCGCGCUACACUGAAGGAAUCAGCGUGCUAAAACCAUUGUCGAAAGGCAUUGGUAAACCCAUUAAAAUCCUACGUGAUUGGGAUCGGGAAUUGCAAUUAUUUCCCUUGAACGAGGAAUUCCCAGUAAGUGUGGGUCAUAAGCUCGCGUUGAUUACGUCCCUGCCCUUUGUACACACCGCCCGUCGCUGCCCGGGACUGAGCCGUUUCGAGAAAAGCGGGGACUGCUGCUGUCGGGGCUUUCGGGCCUUGGCUUCGGUGGAAACCGCUUUAAUCGCAGUGGCUUGAACCGGGCAAAANUCGUANCA
RNAcentral lists this ribosomal RNA (328 nucleotides) under uncultured eukaryote. RNAcentral's name for it is "partial 18S ribosomal RNA". It matches the Rfam family "Eukaryotic small subunit ribosomal RNA", at positions 1470 to 1796 of the family's 1831-position model. The record is from RNAcentral.